RNAcentral lists this unclassified non-coding RNA (389 nucleotides) under fungal sp. Its description in RNAcentral is "partial internal transcribed spacer region". The stretch from base 1 to 46 matches the Rfam family "Eukaryotic small subunit ribosomal RNA", at positions 1786 to 1831 of the family's 1831-position model. The record is from RNAcentral. Lineage: Eukaryota; Fungi.
AAGUCGUAACAAGGUUUCCGUAGGUGAACCUGCGGAAGGAUCAUUAACACGUGAUACUAAACACGUAUUAAACACGAACCGUGAACUGUUAUUAUGUCCUAUGCGAGAACGAGGGCGAUGUGAGGUCAAUUGGUGUGAGUCUUAAUUGUGCUCUUGGCUUCUAUUCUAUGUGGUCCGACCACAAACCCUUGCCUCGUUAUAGAUGAUGAAUUUCGGCUGUCCAAGCAUGCACCUUUGCUAGCAGUCGGGGUGAACUUUAUUAACCCAUUUUUUACUAUUAACUACUGAUUUGUAUGUCGUUAUGAAUUCCCUUUCAUUAGGUUGAGCUUAUAACGAUGUCGUAUAUUACUAAUACGAAACAACUCUUAGCAACGGAUAUCUUGGUUCUC